This 85-nucleotide transfer RNA is filed under the name Pseudomonadota bacterium. RNAcentral's name for it is "tRNA-Ser". It matches the Rfam family "tRNA". Rfam says of the family: Transfer RNA (tRNA) molecules are approximately 80 nucleotides in length. Their secondary structure includes four short double-helical elements and three loops (D, anti-codon, and T loops). Lineage: Bacteria; Pseudomonadati; Pseudomonadota. The record is from RNAcentral. RNAcentral also lists the same sequence under 2 other names.
GGAGAGAUGACCGAGUGGCCGAAGGUGCACGAUUGGAAAUCGUGUGUGUCGCAAGGCACCGCGGGUUCGAAUCCCGCUCUCUCCG